ACGCUGGCGGCGCGUUUUAAGCAUGCAAGUCGGACGGCAAGGGUAGCAAUACCCCUAGAGUGGCGGACUGGUGAGUAACGCGUGGUGACCUACCUUGAGUUGGGAUAGCCAUUAGAAAUAGUGGAUAAUACCGAAUACGAUCGCGACACUUUGGUGAUGCGAUGAAAGGAGCUACGGCUCCGCUCGAGGAUGGGCCCGCGUCCCAUUAGCUAGUUGGUGAGGUAACGGCCCACCAAGGCGACGAUGGGUAUCCGGCCUGAGAGGGUGUACGGACACAUUGGGACUGAGAUACGGCCCAAACUCCUACGGGAGGCAGCAGCUAAGAAUAUUCCGCAAUGGACGAAAGUCUGACGGAGCGACGCCGCGUGGAUGAAGAAGGCCCGAAGGGUUGUAAAAUCCUUUUGCUGAUGAAGAAUAAGUGUGGUAGGGAAUGACCGCAUGAUGACAUUAGUCGGUGAAUAAGCCCCGGCUAACUACGUGCCAGCCGCAGC
Molecule: ribosomal RNA, 491 nt
Filed under: uncultured bacterium
Lineage: Bacteria
Description: bacterial SSU rRNA
Rfam family: Bacterial small subunit ribosomal RNA
Source: RNAcentral